GACGAACGCUGGCGGCGUGCCUAAUACAUGCAAGUAGAACGCUGAAGGAGGAGCUUGCUCUUCUUGGAUGAGUUGCGAACGGGUGAGUAACGCGUAGGUAACCUGCCUGGUAGCGGGGGAUAACUAUUGGAAACGAUAGCUAAUACCGCAUAAGAGUAGAUGUUGCAUGACAUUUGCUUAAAAGGUGCAAUUGCAUCACUACCAGAUGGACCUGCGUUGUAUUAGCUAGUUGGUGAGGUAACGGCUCACCAAGGCGACGAUACAUAGCCGACCUGAGAGGGUGAUCGGCCACACUGGGACUGAGACACGGCCCAGACUCCUACGGGAGGCAGCAGUAGGGAAUCUUCGGCAAUGGACGGAAGUCUGACCGAGCAACGCCGCGUGAGUGAAGAAGGUUUUCGGAUCGUAAAGCUCUGUUGUAAGAGAAGAACGAGUGUGAGAGUGGAAGGUUCACACUGUGACGGUAUCUUACCAGAAAGGGACGGCUAACUACGUGCCGGCAGCCGCGGUAAUACGUAGGUCCCGAGCGUUGUCCGGAUUUAUUGGGCGUAAAGCGAGCGCAGGCGGUUAGAUAAGUCUGAAGUUAAAGGCUGUGGCUUAACCAUAGUACGCUUUGGAAACUGUUUAACUUGAGUGCAAGAGGGGAGAGUGGAAUUCCAUGUGUAGCGGUGAAAUGCGUAGAUAUAUGGAGGAACACCGGUGGCGAAAGCGGCUCUCUGGCUUGUAACUGACGCUGAGGCUCGAAAGCGUGGGGAGCAACCAGGAUUAGAUACCCUGGUAGUCCACGCCGUAAACGAUGAGUGCUAGGUGUUAGACCCUUUCCGGGGUUUAGUGCCGCAGCUAACGCAUUAAGCACUCCGCCUGGGGAGUACGACCGCAAGGUUGAAACUCAAAGGAAUUGACGGGGGCCCGCACAAGCGGUGGAGCAUGUGGUUUAAUUCGAAGCAACGCGAAGAACCUUACCAGGUCUUGACAUCCCUCUGACCGCUCUAGAGAUAGAGUUUUCCUUCGGGACAGAGGUGACAGGUGGUGCAUGGUUGUCGUCAGCUCGUGUCGUGAGAUGUUGGGUUAAGUCCCGCAACGAGCGCAACCCCUAUUGUUAGUUGCCAUCAUUCAGUUGGGCACUCUAGCGAGACUGCCGGUAAUAAACCGGAGGAAGGUGGGGAUGACGUCAAAUCAUCAUGCCCCUUAUGACCUGGGCUACACACGUGCUACAAUGGCUGGUACAACGAGUCGCAAGCCGGUGACGGCAAGCUAAUCUCUUAAAGCCAGUCUCAGUUCGGAUUGUAGGCUGCAACUCGCCUACAUGAAGUCGGAAUCGCUAGUAAUCGCGGAUCAGCACGCCGCGGUGAAUACGUUCCCGGGCCU
This 1368-nucleotide ribosomal RNA is filed under the name uncultured bacterium. RNAcentral's name for it is "bacterial SSU rRNA". It matches the Rfam family "Bacterial small subunit ribosomal RNA", at positions 28 to 1381 of the family's 1533-position model. The record is from RNAcentral.